UACGUAGGGUGCGAGCGUUAAUCGGAAUUACUGGGCGUAAAGCGUGCGCAGGCGGUUUUUUAAGACAGGCGUGAAAUCCCCGGGCUUAACCUGGGAAUGGCGCUUGUGACUGGAAGGCUAGAGUACGGCAGAGGGGGGUGGAAUUCCACGUGUAGCAGUGAAAUGCGUAGAGAUGUGGAGGAACACCGAUGGCGAAGGCAGCCCCCUGGGCCGAUACUGACGCUCAUGCACGAAAGCGUGGGGAG
RNAcentral lists this ribosomal RNA (245 nucleotides) under uncultured bacterium. RNAcentral describes it as "partial 16S ribosomal RNA". It matches the Rfam family "Bacterial small subunit ribosomal RNA", at positions 524 to 768 of the family's 1533-position model. The record is from RNAcentral.